CCUACGGGUGGCUGCAGUAGGGAAUAUUGCUCAAUGGGGGAAACCCUGACGCAGCAACGCCGCGUGGAGGAUGAAGGUUUUCGGAUUGUAAACUUCUUUUGUAAGAGAAGAAAAUGACGGUAUCUAACGAAUAAGCACCGGCUAACUACGUGCCAGCAGCCGCGGUAAUACGGAGGGUGCAAGCGUUACUCGGAAUUACUGGGCGUAAAGAGCGCGUAGGCGGGACAGCAAGUCAGAUGUGAAAUCCUAUGGCUUAACUAUAGAACUGCAUUUGAAACUGUUAUUCUAGAGUACGGGAGAGGUAGGUGGAAUUCUUGGUGUAGCGGUAAAAUCCAUAGAGAUCAGGAGGAAUACUCAUGGCGAAGGCGACCUGCUAGAACAUAACUGACGCUGAGGCGCGAAAGCGUGGGGAGCAAACAGGAUUAGAUACCCGUGUAGUC
Molecule: ribosomal RNA, 440 nt
Filed under: uncultured bacterium
Lineage: Bacteria
Description: partial 16S ribosomal RNA
Rfam family: Bacterial small subunit ribosomal RNA
Source: RNAcentral